AGCCCUGUAGCCAGAGUCUCUGUUUCCUUGUCCAUCAAAUGGGACUCAUAGGAUCCACCUCUGCAGAGAUUUCAAAAAGCCGCUUGUGAGGCUAGCACAGGCACUGUGCAAAUGCUUGUCACUGCUCCACUUUAGCAACGGAAACAGACUCAGGUGGUGAUGAUGCCUCGGGUCUCAGGACCACACUUGGAGAACCUCUGCUGUAAUUGAUUAGUGCUGUCUGCUGUGGCUUGCCAGGAGAGGGUUGUGACAAGCAGGAGGAGGCAGCCUGCCCAAGUUGCACAGCUGGUGAGUGGCUGUUAUGGUUGGGAUCUCAAAUGCCUCCCAAUGGCCACAUGUCACAGGCUUGGUUGUCAGCCUGUGGCACUAUGGGAAAGCUGUGAAUGAUCACUUCCCAACCUUUGCCUGAGAUGAUGGUGAUGGCGGCGAUGGUGAUGGCGGUGGCGAUGAUGGUGAUGGCCGGCGAUGGUGAUGGUGGCAGUGAUAAUGGCGGCGGUGGAAUCUUGAGGAGAAGAGCCUCAUGGAAGGAAGCCUGAUG
This is a long non-coding RNA of Acomys russatus (golden spiny mouse), 538 nucleotides long. RefSeq lists it as uncharacterized. NCBI's taxonomy places the organism in Eukaryota, Metazoa, Chordata, Mammalia, Rodentia, Muridae. The record is from RefSeq and is a predicted model, not a curated record. The transcript is spliced from 3 exons.